AAUCAACGCUGGCGGCGUGCCUCAGACAUGCAAGUCGAACGAUUAAACUUUCCUUCGGGAAAGAUAUAAAGUGGCGCACGGGUGAGUAACACGUAGGUAAUGUACCUUUGGGUGGGGAAUAACCAUCGGAAACGAUGGCUAAUACCGCAUAAUGCAGCGGCAUCGCAAGAUGACAGUUGUUAAAGCGAGCAAUCGCGCCUAAAGAGCAGCCUGCGGCAGAUUAGGAGUUGGUAAGGUAAUGGCUUACCAAGCCUGCGAUCUGUAACCGACCUGAGAGGGUGGUCGGUCACACUGACACUGAAUAACGGGUCAGACUCCUACGGGAGGCAGCAGUCGGGAAUUUUGGGCAAUGGGCGAAAGCCUGACCCAGCAACGCCGCGUGAAGGACGAAGUCUUUCGGGAUGUAAACUU
RNAcentral lists this ribosomal RNA (411 nucleotides) under uncultured bacterium. RNAcentral's name for it is "bacterial SSU rRNA". It matches the Rfam family "Bacterial small subunit ribosomal RNA", at positions 32 to 432 of the family's 1533-position model. The record is from RNAcentral.